UGGGGAAUAUUGGACAAUGGGCGAAAGCCUGAUCCAGCCAUGCCGCGUGUGUGAAGAAGGUCUUCGGAUUGUAAAUCACUUUAAGUUGGGAGGAAGGGCAGUAAGCGAAUACCUUGCUGUUUUGACGUUACCGACAGAAUAAGCACCGGCUAACUCUGUGCCAGCAGCCGCGGUAAUACAGAGGGUGCAAGCGUUAAUCGGAAUUACUGGGGGUAAAGCGCGCGUAGGUGGUUCGUUAAGUUGAAUAUGAAAGCCCCGGGCUCAACCUGGGAACUGCAUCCAAAUCUGGCGAGCUAGAGUAGGGCAGAGGGUGGUGGAAUUUCCUGUGUAGCGGUGAAAUGCGUAGAUAUAGGAAGGAACACAAGUGGCGAAGGCGACCACCUGGGCUCAUACUGACACUGAGGUGCGAAAGCGUGGGGAGCAAACAGG
Molecule: ribosomal RNA, 429 nt
Filed under: Pseudomonadota bacterium
Lineage: Bacteria; Pseudomonadati; Pseudomonadota
Description: Proteobacteria bacterium partial 16S ribosomal RNA
Rfam family: Bacterial small subunit ribosomal RNA
Source: RNAcentral